UAGGGAAUCUUCGGCAAUGGACGGAAGUCUGACCGAGCAACGCCGCGUGAGUGAAGAAGGUUUUCGGAUCGUAAAGCUCUGUUGUAAGAGAAGAACGAGUGUGAGAGUGGGAAGUUCACACUGUGACGGUAUCUUACCAGAAAGGGACGGCUAACUACGUGCCAGCAGCCGCGGUAAUACGUAGGUCCCGAGCGUUGUCCGGAUUUAUUGGGCGUAAAGCGAGCGCAGGCGGUUAGAUAAGUCUGAAGUUAAAGGCUGUGGCUUAACCAUAGUAGGCUUUGGAAACUGUUUAACUUGAGUGCAAGAGGGGAGAGUGGAAUUCCAUGUGUAGCGGUGAAAUGCGUAGAUAUAUGGAGGAACACCGGUGGCGAAAGCGGCUCUCUGGCUUGUAACUGACGCUGAGGCUCGAAAGCGUGGGGAGCAAACAGGAUUAGAUACCCUGGUAGUCCACGCUGUAAACGAUGAGUGCUAGGUGUUAGACCCUUUCCGGGGUUUAGUGCCGUAGCUAACGCAUUAAGCACUCCGCCUGGGGAGUACGACCGCAAGGUUG
This 550-nucleotide ribosomal RNA is filed under the name uncultured bacterium. Its description in RNAcentral is "bacterial SSU rRNA". It matches the Rfam family "Bacterial small subunit ribosomal RNA", at positions 355 to 896 of the family's 1533-position model. The record is from RNAcentral.